RNAcentral lists this small RNA (447 nucleotides) under Pan troglodytes (chimpanzee). RNAcentral's name for it is "processed transcript". Lineage: Eukaryota; Metazoa; Chordata; Mammalia; Primates; Hominidae. The record is from RNAcentral.
AAAAAAGAGAACGAGAAAGACAAGAACUGAGAAUUUUAGUGGGAACAAAUUUGGUGCGCCUCAGUCAGUUGGAAGGUGUAAAUGUGGAACGUUACAAACAGAUUGUUUUGACUGGCAUAUUGGAGCAAGUUGUAAACUGUAGGGAUGCUUUGGCUCAAGAAUAUCUCAUGGAGUGUAUUAUUCAGGUUUUCCCUGAUGAAUUUCACCUCCAGACUUUGAAUCCUUUUCUUCGGGCCUGUGCUGAGUUACACCAGAAUGUAAAUGUGAAGAACAUAAUCAUUGCUUUAAUUGAUAGAUUAGCUUUAUUUGCUCACCGUGAAGAUGGACCUGGAAUCCCAGCGGAUAUUAAACUUUUUGAUAUAUUUUCACAGCAGGUGGCUACAGUGAUACAGUAUUGCUACCAGUAGUGCAGUUUCAAAGGAACUCACCAGACUUUUGAAAAUACCA